Molecule: small RNA, 587 nt
Filed under: Pan troglodytes (chimpanzee)
Lineage: Eukaryota; Metazoa; Chordata; Mammalia; Primates; Hominidae
Description: processed transcript
Source: RNAcentral
GUAUUUCCUGUGGUGUGUUCACACGCAGCUAGACACAGCUAACUUGAGUCUUGGAGCUCCUAGAGGGGAGCUUCUGGAAAGGAAGGCUCUUCAGGACCUCUUAGGAGCCAGUGCCUAGGAAAGUUGUCCCCUUGAAUGUCAGUGUGAAGGUGAAGGAGGAAGCAGAUGCCUGUUCAUACGGAAACAAAGACCUGGCUGUGAAGAGGGGAGGCGGACACCAAAGUCCUGACACUUGGGCGGGACAGAAUUGAUCUGUGAGAGACUCUCAUCUAGUUCACACCCUAGGUGAUCCCGGGGGUGGCAUGGGAGUAGAUUAGAGAUCCCAGUCUGGUAUCCUCUGGAGAGUAGGAGUCCCAGGAGCUGAAGGUUUCUGGCCACUGAACUUUGGCUAAAGCAGAGGUGUCACAGCUGCUCAAGAUUCCCUGGUUAAAAAGUGAAAGUGAAAUAGAGGGUCGGGGCAUUGCUUUCCCAGAAGGAUUGCUCGGCAUCCUGCCCUUCCCAGAAGCAGCUCUGGUGCUGGAGAGAGCACUGCCUCCCUGUGUGACUGGGUGAGUCCAUAUUCUCUCUUUGGGUCUCAAUUUUGCCUU